CGCCAAGGGCGCCUCGGUGACCAUGGCCUCAUACUCGCUGGGCGCGAUCAACUUGAGGAAAUAGGGCUCGGUGGCAUAAAGGCGCUCGACCCCGCGUUGGACGCUGCCGAGCAGGCGCCGCGUGCAGUCGCCGGCGUCGGCACCGUUGGGAAACUGCCGAAACGUAUCGCGAGGGCAAAAGCCGAAACCUGCUUGCGCGAGACGAUGCGCCCUGGCCAGAGCCUCGCGCAUCGAAACCGCGAGAUCGCUGCCGGUGCCGGCGUCAGCCCAGUGCGCUGGGACGGCGCCCUGGUCCAAUGGACCACUCUUGGGCGCGUCGACACGGCCAAGAGGACCGCCCUUUUCGCGCGCGUCAAUGAGCGCCGCAAGGGCGAUGCACAGGUUGCGCGUGCGCAUAAUCUCGAUGCCGGUCCAUGCGCACUCGCGCUGCGCGAGGCCAUCGACGACGCAAGCCAGCCACGUGUGCGCAAAGCACACCCUUUCUGAAAAACUGCACCAAAGCCAAAAGGAGGGUUGGCGUGCACUGAUGGCCAGCAAACCAGCGAGUUGGGCGUCGGUCAUGUGCUCGGCGUCAUCGAUGCUCCACACGCCAUCGUGGUACGUCAGUCUGACAGGGUCCUCUGUGGGCGGCGGGUCGGCAUAGCCGCGGCUGCGCAGGAAAGAGACCUGAUCGGCAGACAGCGUGCCACGGGCCCUUUUGACGAGGCAAUGCAACUUCCAGUGAUCAGGGCGCUUGCCAGGCCGCGUCUGGGGCAGCCUCGGCGCAAGCAAACCGAGGUUGUGCUCGAAUUCGAGGGCCAUCAGUCGGUCCAGGUCGACCGACUCGUCCCACCGCACACAGGCUAGGGCGGCGUCGACGAGCACCUCCUCGGGAUUCUCUUGCUGUUUUGCCAUCGGCAAGUCUUGCGCCGGUCGGUUGUCGGGCUUUGUAAUGUCUUUUACUUGCUCUUGUUCCAUAUCUG
This 962-nucleotide long non-coding RNA is filed under the name Pandoravirus quercus. RNAcentral describes it as "hypothetical ncRNA". The record is from RNAcentral.